This 73-nucleotide transfer RNA is filed under the name Nocardia acididurans. Its description in RNAcentral is "tRNA-Ala". It matches the Rfam family "tRNA". From Rfam's summary of the family: Transfer RNA (tRNA) molecules are approximately 80 nucleotides in length. Their secondary structure includes four short double-helical elements and three loops (D, anti-codon, and T loops). The record is from RNAcentral. Lineage: Bacteria; Bacillati; Actinomycetota; Actinomycetes; Mycobacteriales; Nocardiaceae.
CGCGGAGUAGCUCAGUUGGUAGAGCGCCUUACACGCAGUGUGGAAGUCGCGGGUUCGAUUCCCGCCUCCGCGA